RNAcentral lists this ribosomal RNA (541 nucleotides) under Lasiodiplodia gilanensis. RNAcentral's name for it is "eukaryotic LSU rRNA". The stretch from base 166 to 319 matches the Rfam family "5.8S ribosomal RNA". Lineage: Eukaryota; Fungi; Ascomycota; Dothideomycetes; Botryosphaeriales; Botryosphaeriaceae. The record is from RNAcentral.
CCUAUAGGCUGACUGACGGAGGACAUUACCGAGUUCUCGGGCUUCGGCCCGACUCUCCCACCCUUUGUGAACGUACCUCUGUUGCUUUGGCGGCUCCGGCCGCCAAAGGACCUUCAAACUCCAGUCAGUAAACGCAGACGUCUGAUAAACAAGUUAAUAAACUAAAACUUUCAACAACGGAUCUCUUGGUUCUGGCAUCGAUGAAGAACGCAGCGAAAUGCGAUAAGUAAUGUGAAUUGCAGAAUUCAGUGAAUCAUCGAAUCUUUGAACGCACAUUGCGCCCCUUGGUAUUCCGGGGGGCAUGCCUGUUCGAGCGUCAUUACAACCCUCAAGCUCUGCUUGGAAUUGGGCACCGUCCUCACUGCGGACGCGCCUCAAAGACCUCGGCGGUGGCUGUUCAGCCCUCAAGCGUAGUAGAAUACACCUCGCUUUGGAGCGGUUGGCGUCGCCCGCCGGACGAACCUUCUGAACUUUUCUCAAGGUUGACCUCGGAUCAGGUAGGGAUACCCGCUGAACUUAAGCAUAUCAUAACCCGGAAGAG